CCAAAGGCUCUUUUCAGAGCCACCACUCGGCCUAAAAGACCUGUAA
Ictidomys tridecemlineatus (thirteen-lined ground squirrel) is the source of this 46-nucleotide non-coding RNA. NCBI's taxonomy places the organism in Eukaryota, Metazoa, Chordata, Mammalia, Rodentia, Sciuridae. The record is from Rfam.